GAAGUCUCAUCCCGACUUGUGGGGGAAUCAUAGUCUCCAUCAUCCUUUCCUCACUUGGGACAAUGCUCUAAAAAAUGAUGAUCAUCACACUUUUAUUUACUUACAACUCAAUACUUAGAACAAAAUAUGACUCUAUGUGAAUGCCUCCGGCGGUGUACUAGGAUAUGCAAUGAAUCAAGAGUGACAUGUAUGAAGGAAUUAUGAACAGUGGCUUUGCCACAAAUACAAUGUCAACUACAUGAUCAUGCGAAGCAAUAUGACAAUGAUGGAGCAUACAUAGUAAACGAGACGGUGGUAAGUUGCAUGGCAAUAUAUCUCGGAAUGGCUAUGGAAAUGCCAUGUUAGGUAAGUAUGAUGGCUCUUUUGAGGAAGGUAUAUGGUGGGUGUAUGAUACCGGCAAAAGGUGCGUGGUAUUAGAGAGGCUAGCAAUGGUGGAAGGAAGAAAAGUGCGUAUAAUCCAUGGACUCAACAUUAGUCAUAAAGAACUCUUAUAGUUAUUGCAAAAAUCUACAAGUUAUCAAAGAAAAGUAUUACGCGCAUGCUCCUAGGGGGAUAUAUUGGUAGGAAAAGACCAUCGCUCGUCCUCGACCGCCACUCAUAAGGAAGACAAUCAAUAAAUAAAUCAUGCUCCGACUUCAUCACAUAACGGUUCACCAUACGUGCAUGCUACGGGAAUCACAAACUUUAACACAAGUAUUUCUCAAAUUCACAACUACUCAACUAGCAUGACUCUAAUAUCAUCAUCUCCAUAUCUCAAAACAAUUACCAAGCAUCUAACUUCUCAUAGUAUUCAACACACUCAUAAGAAUUUUUUUACUAAUCUUGAAUGCCUAUCACAAUUAAAGCAAAUUACCAUGCUGUUUUGUAGGACUCUCAAAAUAAUCUAAGUGAAGCAUGAGAGAACAAUAGUUUCUAUAAAACAAAUCCACCACCGUGCUCUAAAAGAUAUAAGUGAACCACUAGAGCAAAAACUAUAUAACUCAAAAGAUAUAAGUGAAGCACAUAGAGUAUUCUAACAAUUUCUGAAUCAUGUGUGUCUCUCUCAAAUGGUGUGUACAGCAAGGAUGAUUGUGGAAAACUAAAAAACAAAGACUCAAAUAAUACAUGACGCUCCAAGCAAAACACAUAUCAUGUGGUGAAUAAAAAUAUAGCUCCAAGUAAAGUUACCGAUGGAAGUAGACGAAAGAGGGGAUGCCUUCCGGGGCAUCCCCAAUCUUUGGCUUUUAGGUGUCAAUAGAUUAUCUUGGGGAGCCAUGGGAAUCCCCAAGCUUAGGCUCUUGCCACUCCUUGUUCCAUAACCAAUCAAAUCUUUUACCAAAAACUUGAAAACUUCACAACACAAAACUCAGCAGAAAAUCUCGUGAGCUCCGUUAGCGAAAGAAAAAAAAACACCACUUCAAGGUACUGUAAUGAACUCAUUCUUUAUUUAUAUUGGUGUUAAACCUACUGUAUUCAAACUUCUCUAUGGUUUAUAAACUAUUUUACUAGCCAUAGAUUCAUCAAAAUAAGCAAACAACACACGAAAAACAGAAUCUGUCAAAAACAGAACAGUCUGUAGUAAUCUGUAACUAACGCAAACUUCUGGAACUCAAAAAACUUCAGCCAAAAUAGGACGACCUAGAAAAUUUGUUUAUUGAUUAGAAGCAAUUGGAAUCAAUAUUUUAUCACGUUCUGGUGAGUUUUAACAAUUAUUUUCGUGAACAAAAAGUUUCUGGAAUUUUCAGCAAGAUCAAAUAACUAUCAUCCAAGAAGAUCCUAUAGGUUAAACUUGGCACAAACACUAAUUAAAACAAAAAAAACAUCUAACCAGAGGCUAGAUCAAAUAUUUAUUCCUAAACAGAAGCAAAAAGCAAAAAAAUAAAAAAAUAAAAUUGGGUUGCCUCCCAACAAGCGCUAUCGUUUAACGCCCCUAGCUAGGCAUAAAAGCAAGGAUAGAUGUAGGUAUUGCCAUAAUAAUAGGAUAGAUCAUUAAAACUCAUUUCAUAUUCUCUAAGUUCAGCAGCGAGUUUUCUUUGAGGCAAGCAAAAGUAAUCAAAAGGGCUAAAUUUAAUGGGACAAAAGUCCCCAAGAUCAACUUUAGGAGGUAUAGGUUCCUCCUUCGGCCCUUCGUAUUGCACAACCAAUUCAUCAUUAUAAGCAUUCUUUUGACAGAACUUUGUGAGCCUAUACUUGAGAGAAUAUCCUAGCUCAUUAUUUCGGAUAGCAAUAUCACUAUUAAGUUCAGAAAUUCUAUCGACUAGAACAUUGGUAGGAACCUUUUUUCUAAGGUUCUCAUUAAAAGCAACAUAGUCUAGAGAUUGAAAACGCAUUAUUUCCUCUUGAUCGAAUAAGAUAGCUUCUAUGGGAGUACGGCCAGCGUCUGCCCUAUAAUGCGCAAAGAUUUCUUUGGCCUCUUUUAUUAUAAAUCUGAACUCAUGAGGCAAAAAGAUAGUAGCGGCACGCUUAACAGAAGAAUGCUCAAUAUUAGAAAAUUCUAGGAAAAUCCUUUGUAUGCAAGGGUGCAUGUGCAUGAAUUGCCUUUCAAGUUCAACUACAAGCAUGGCAAUAGCGUCCGCAAGACUACUAGUUCUAUGAAGAAUAGAACUGCCCAUAGAAGGCAAAGCACCGGCACAAGUAAAGAAAUCUUGAAUAACCCCUUUUCCAAUAAUGUUACCACUGCCAAUUCGGAAUUUUUUUGUAUGCAAGAUAGGGGGUUCUUCAGCGAGAGCAUCAGAAUUUUCCAUAUUAUUACUAUUGUCCAUAUCGACAAUAGUUUCCCCAAUUUCAAACAUAACGACAGAAAGUGCAAGGAGCAAAAAGAAAGAGGGAGGCAAACGGAGAAGAGAGGGCGAAUAAAACGGCAAGGGUGAAGUGGGGGAGAGGAAAACGAGAGGAAAAUGACAAAUAAUGUAAUGCGGGAGAUAAGGGUUUGUGAUGGGUACUUGGUAUGUUGACUUUUGCAUAGACUCCCCGGCAACGGCGCCAGAAAUCCUUCUUGCUACCUCUUGAGCACUGCGUUGGUUUUCCCUUGAAGAGGAAAGGGUGAUGCAGUAAAGCAGCGUAAGUAUUUCCCUCCGUUUUUGAGAACCAAGGUAUCAAUCCAGUAGGAGGCCAUGCACGAGUCCCUCGCACCUACACAAACAAAUAAAUCCUCGCAACCAACGCAAUAAAGGGGUUGUCAAUCCCUUCACGGUCACUUACGAGAGUGAGAUCUGAUAGAUAUGAUAAGAUAAUAUUUUUGGUAUUUUUAUGAUAAAGAUGCAAAGUAAAGAAAGUAAAAUAAAAACGGCGCCAGAAAUAGCUUGUUGUUGGGAGAUUAAAUAUGAUGGAAAAUAGACCCCGAGGCCAUAGGUUUCACUAGUGGCUUCUCUCGAGAGCAUAAGUAUUAUGGUGGGUAAACAAAUUACUGUUGAGCAAUUGAUAGAAUUGAGCAUAGUUAUGAGAAUAUCUAGGUAUGAUCAUGGAUAUAGGCAUCACGUCCGAGACAAGUAGACCAACUCCUGCCUGCAUCUACUACUAUUACUCCACACAUCGACCGCUAUCCAGCAUGCAUCUAGAGUAUUAAGUUCAUAAGAACAGGGUAACGCUUUAAGUAAGAUGACAUGAUGUAGAGGGAUAAACUCAUGCAAUAUGAUAUAAACCCCAUCUUGUUAUCCUCGAUGGCAACAAUACAAUACGUGCCUUGCUGCCCCUACUGUCACUGGGAAAGGACACCGCAAGAUUGAACCCAAAGCUAAGCACUUCUCCCAUUGCAAGAAAGAUCAAUCUAAUAGGCCAAACCAAACUGAUAAUUCAAAGAAACUUGCAAAGAUAACCAGUCAUACAUAAAAGAAUUUAGAGAAGAUUCAAAUAUUGUUCAUAGAUAAACUUGAUCAUAAACCCACAAUUCAUCGGUCUCAACAAACACACCGCAAAAGAAGAUUACAUCGAAUAGAUCUCCACAAGAGAGGGGGAGAACAUUGUAUUGAGAUCCAAAAAGAGAGAAGAAGCCAUCUAGCUAAUAACUAUGGACCCGAAGGUCUGAAUUAAACUACUCACACAUCAUUGGAGAGGCUAUGGUGUUGAUGUAGAAGCCCUCCCUGGUCGAUGCCCCCUCCGGCGGAGCUCCGGAAAAGGCCCCAAGAUGGGAUCUCACGGGUACAGAAGGUUGCGGCGGUGGAAUUCGGUUUUUGGCUCCGUAUCUGGUAGUUUGGGGGUACGUAGGUAUAUAUAGGAGGAAGAAGUACGUCGGUGGAGCAACGUGGGGCCCAUGAGGGUGGAGGGCGCGCCCAGGGGGGUAGGCGCACCCCCUACCUCAUGCCUUCCUGGUUGAUGUCUUGACGUAGGGUCCAAGUCCUCUGGAUCACGUUCGUUCCGAAAAUCACGUUCCCGAAGGUUUCAAUCCGUUUGGACUUCGUUUGAUAUUCUUUUUCUGCAAAACUCUGAAAUUGGCAAAAAACAGCAAUUCUGGGCUGGGCCUCCGGUUACUAGGUUAGUCCCAAAAAUAAUAUAAAAGUGUAUAAUAAAGCCCAUUAAUGUCCAAAACAGAAUAUAAUAUAGCAUGGAACAAUAAAAAUUAUAGAUACGUUGGAGACGUAUCAAAGUCCACCACCGCGUCAGCUGACUCUCGCUCCUCCAAGUCCACCAAUGCGUCAGGCCACUCCUCCCCCUCCAUGUCCGGCACAGCGUCAGGCCACUCCUCCUGCUUCAAGUCCGGCACAGCCUUAGGCCACUCCUCCUGCUUCAAGACCGACACCGCGUCAGGCCACUCCUCCUGCUUCAAGUCCGGCACGGCGUCAGGCCACUCCUCCUACUCCAACUCAGCCACGUCAGCCGUCUCCGCCGCCUCAGCAAUCGCGGAAGAGAGCCGCCGCAGCUAUGGUGCGUAGCGGUACGAGUCGAGGUAGUAUAGGAGGUACAGGUGGAGGCAAGCGAUAUCAAUAUGGUCCAAGCCUCACUCAUCUUCCUCAAAGGCCUUACGACAUGACCGAGGAGCAAAACACAACCAUAGUGAAGGCCCAAGUGUACGCCCAUUUUGGACCGAAACCGCCACCGCCGCCAAAGGAGAAAGUGCCUGAGGAUAAGAUUGACCACUUUAUUCGUAUGGCUAGAAAACCAGCUCCCAAGCCUGUUGACUCAGACUAUGAGCGCCAAAUCAGGAAGGCACAUCGAGCACGACUACAGAAGGAGUCGAGCUCGAGCUCGAGCCAAGCAGCUGGCAAAAUAUGCAGGAAAACAGUUCCCCAGCUGGGAGAACAGGCGACGCAAUCGAUCCCCCCGCUUGUUGUACCAACACAUGAGAGUACCGGCACCGGUCAGCUGGUAAUAACCGACGAGCAUAGAAGGCAGGCUGAAAUGCUCGGUAUCACUGUUGGACAACUCCUCGAGAUCGAUCCCAUGUCUCCGCUUAGAGAGGAGGACAUAAAACGGAAAUAUGUCUGCGGCGCACCUUUGGUCGAGCCUGAGGAGGUCAAGAACCUCCCAACGAGAAUGUAUGAAUUGCAUGAUUGGUACAUGAAAAUUACCAAGCGUUCCAAUUGAGAGUCCAUCAUGGUGAACGUCAAGGAAGAGCAUUACUUCCAUAAGCUAGCUCUGUCCGUUGAGUAUUCAGAACUAUUUCACUUAUUCAAUCAAGACGCACUCGACAAAUCUCUCGUCUGUUGCUAUUGUAUGUAAGUGAUUUCUUUCUGUAAUUGAAGUCUCAAGCUAGCUGUAGUGCUCAUUGAUCGAUCAUUACCUGUAAUUAUCCUCACUAUAUUCUUUUCUGUGGUAUUAUGCAGGAUGAAGAUGUAUGAAAUGAAAAAAGCUGGACGCUAUGGCAUUGGUUCAUUGACCCAAAUACCAUUAAUGAAGACACAUGGAAAUUGGAAUGAUAUGAAUCAGAUGUAGAGAAAAACAUGCUAGAGUUCUUGAAGCGCCUCAAUACCAAUAAAGAUAUACUACUUCCUUACAACUUCCUGUGAGUCACACUAUCUUGUACUACAAAUUCUGUUUUUGCUUACUAGCUAGCUAGAUGUUAAUAAUUAAGUGUAUAGGGUUUAGGGUAGUUGAUUAGUGUUAUGCACAUGCCCGCUUAAUUAAGACAUGCAAACGUGUGCGCAUGCAGUUACCACUGGAUCUUGUUAAUCAUUAAAGUUGAAGAAGGAACAGUUGAAGUACUGGACUCACUACUUAAAAAAGAAAGUGACUUCACCAUCUUGAAGGGGAUAGUCGAUAGGUAAUUUCAAUCAUUAUUAACUAUAUCUCGACCUAUUUAGUUCGUCAUUUCCUGAUAUCAACUAUUUAAUAACCCCUUUAUUUAUUUUCUUUGCGGGUGGGCAGGGCUUUGGCAAAGUUCAUCAACGUGACUCCAGGCAAGUGGCGAAAAAAGCUGUAUUGGUUUCGACCCAAGGUAAGUAAUUAAGUAGUACUAGCUAGCUACCAUCUCUUUAAUUCUUGUUUCAAUACCAUUAAUUAAUUAUCAUGCUUGAUUAAUUAUUAUCUGAUUAAAUUCUAUUCUCGUAAAGGCCCUGAAGCAGGCGUCGGGGACUGAAGUGUGUGCAUACUACGUUUGCGAGAACAUCCGCAUGAUGGCGUCCGAAAGGAGCAAAUCUGAUAGACAGCAAUGGGUACGUUUGCCAGAACACUAUUCACAAUUUUUACAUGAUUAUCGAUAUCUAGUCAUACAACUAAUACACAUGCAUAUUGAUCUCCUUCUUAACAGUUCAAAGACGUGCGGGAGCAACUCCUACCAACGGAGCGCAUACGAGCACUUGAAGAGGAAAUAGCGGGAUUUUUGCUCGACCAGGUCAUAGAUCCCAAAGGAGAAUACCAUUACCCGCUACCGCCCCCAUGAACCACUCCCAAUUGUCAUCGUGCUCCGAAGGCACCAAGGCAACAUGUAGGAGAAAUUGUAUAUAUACCUAAUUGUAUAUAUACAUGUGGAUGUGUGAAUAAUGGUGGUUGUGAGACAUUCGAUGAUAUAUAUAUAUAUAUAUAUAAAUUCUAUUCAUAUAUAUGCAUAACGUGUACAAUAUGUAGUAUCGUAAAAUACUAGCAAACGAAAAAGAAUUAAAUGGAAAACACAAAAUUAAAGGAAAAGGAAAUCAUGAAUCCAAAACCCCCCCAAACAUUUUAGUACCGGUUGGUGUUACCAACCGGUACUAAAGGGCUCCCCGCCUCUGGCGCUGGCUCGUGCCGCGUGGUGGCCCUUUAGCGGCGGUUCGUGCAAAACCGGUACUAAAGGGGGGGGGGACCUUUAGUCCCCACCCUUUAGUGCCGGUUACAGAACCGGCACUAAACACCCAGAGCAGUCUAACGACUGGAUUACCCGUGAACAAACGAGGACUUUCGCCGGCUGGUUGCAGACACCUGCCAUGCAUGACGCCGCUAUGGAAGAUGACCUGUACUUGCUGUCCCAGUUACCAUCUUCGAAUAUAAUGACUUUCAAAGGGUACAAGAUAAAUGGGAAUACAUUUUACACGAUCGCCCAAGAUAAGAAGAACACCAACCAAAAUAGUGGUGUCCGCUUUGAUGCAGCAACCAAGACGGGAAAGGAAACAUAUUAUGGUUACAUAGAGGACAUAUGGAAACUUGACUAUGGACAUGGUUUGAAGGUCCCUUUGUCUCGGUGCAAAUGGGUCAAUAUGACACGAGGCGGGGUAACGGAAGACCUGCAGUACGGAAUGACAACAGUGGAUCUCAACAAUCUUGUGUAUGCAGACAAACCAUUUGUCCUAGCCAAUGAUGUGGCGCAGGUUUUCUAUGUGAAGGACAUGUCUACGAAGCCGAGAAAAAGAAAAUAUAAGGAAGCGAAUCCAUCAUACGAGGAGCCAAAGUGCCACAAAUAAAUUCACAAAUAAAAAUAUUUACAAAUAAAUUCUAAAUACAGCAAAAAACAAGUCAGAAGUAAAUGAAAGAAAAUAAAUAAAGCAGAAAAGAAAAAAAGAAAAUAAAUAAAUAAAGCCCGCCUACUGGGCCACAACGGCCUGCAUACGACUAGAAACCCAACCUCUAGUUAGGCCAGGAUGCAGGCCCGCAAGGCCCAAUAGGCCCACAGGGCACAGCUAGGCCCAGAAGCUUGCUAUAGAGAGGAGUUCAACACCUCUCCCACGCCGGGGCUUUUAAACAGGUGCGGCUGCUCUUUGCUAGGCGAGGUGGGACUAAACUUCCGCACCACACCAGCGCCAGCGCACCACCUUUAGUACCGGGUCGUGGCUCUAACCGGUACUAAAGGGCGGGGGGUCUUUAGUACCGGUUGGAGCCACCACCCGGUACUAAAAGGGUUCCCUUCCCGCCGCUCCGCCUGGCCAAAACAGGCCUUUAGUACCGGUUGGUGGCUACAACCGGUACUAAAGGUGCCUUCUAUAUAUACAACACUUCAAAAAAAUUCAGUUUCUCAUCUCCCACUUCUCCUCUCUAGCUGCUUCAACUCGCCGCCGCCCCGUCCCGCGCCGUCGCCCGUCGCCAUCCCCGUCGCCACCCCCGCCGCGCGUCAUCGNNNNNNNNNNNNNNNNNNNNNNNNNNNNNNNNNNNNNNNNNNNNNNNNNNNNNNNNNNNNNNNNNNNNNNNNNNNNNNNNNNNNNNNNNNNNNNNNNNNNNNNNNNNNNNNNNNNNNNNNNNNNNNNNNNNNNNNNNNNNNNNNNNNNNNNNNNNNNNNNNNNNNNNNNNNNNNNNNNNNNNNNNNNNNNNNNNNNNNNNNNNNNNNNNNNNNNNNNNNNNNNNNNNCGUCGCCGCUGACCCCGUCCCCGUCGACGCCCCGGCCCGUCGUCGCCGUCUCGCCGCCGCCCCGUCGCCACCUCCAUCGCCUCACCGUUCCCCGACCCGUUGCCCCACUGUAAGAACCCCAGCCGCCAUGCAUAUGGCCGGCCGGCCGCCCCCAAGCCCGUCCGCAUACACACACACACUAAGAUGUGUUUUUCUGUUUUUAGUUUUUAGUUUUUAGUUUUUUCUGUUUUUCAUACAAAGGUUUUAGAUGAAUUAAUUAAUUAGAUUAGAUUAAUGUCAAAUGUCAAAGGUUUUAGAUGCAUUAAUUAAUUAGAUUAAUGUCAAAUGUUAGAUGAAAUUAGCUAGAUAUAUUAAUGUUAGAUGAAUUAUUUUUUUAUACUUUCAGUUCGAUGAAUUAGAUAUAUUAAUUAAUGUUAGAUGGAUUAGUUUUUUAUACUUUUGUCAAAAUGUUAGAUGAAUUAGCUAGCUAGAUAUAUAUAAGAAAUCACAAUCCAAUCAUUUAAAAAAUGUUACGUUUGCAUAUAGUAUUUGUUCUCGACGAUGCCCGGCCCGCAUCCUCGCCGUCGACCCGUUCGCGACGACGUCCUGCUUCAGAGGACCCAUGUCUGGCACUGGGCUCCACCGGGCUGGCACUGGGAGGUGCUACCUUUAGGGGCUCGCCGCUUGGUGAGGAACCCGGCCCCGGGUCCCAUCGUCGACCCUGACCUCCUUUGGUGGCGUUCGCGUGGGCCACUUUCGGUGCGGAGGGAGCCGGCCCCGCCGGAGGUGGUGUGGCGUCGUGUCAGGGAGGAGGACGAGCACGUCCGUCGCUACAUGGCUACUAUGGACGUCAGGUUCUCCAAUACCUGGCAGGUUCUUUGGGGAGAUGACCGGAGCUAUGAUCCUGUGAUGGUUCCUUCUCUUUGGGUGUCCACCGCCCGCGCCUCAGGAACCAUGAGUGGCCUAGAUUAUUCUGUAGUAUUUGAUCUUUAUUAGCUAGCUAGCUAGUGAUGUAUUCGAUAUAUAAUAUUCGAGAUGAUGUAUUCGAGAUUAUAUAUAUUAUUCGAGACAAUGUAUUCGAGAUUAUAUAUAUUAUUCGAGACGAUGUAUCCGAGAUUAUAUAUUAUUCGAGACGAUGUAUUUGAGAUUAUAUACUAUUUGAGACGAUGCGUAUUAUGUACUAUGAUUCAGUUUUUCCUUAUUGAUUGCAUGCAUGCAUUGUAAUUUGAAUACAAAAUUGUUUAAUAUUUCUUCUGGAUUAGUUAAAUAAAAGCUAUGGCGGACAAUACCGGCAAAGAGGGAGAAGAGGCCCUGUUCGAAAUCAUACACUCCCCUCGCGAGCCAGAUGAUCAGAAUGAACAAGAUGAAGGCUCCCAAUAUCUGAACAAUACUGGGAGGGUGAUGAUAUGAUAUUCGAUCGCGACGACCGAAUUGAUGAAGUCAUGAACUAUGAUUAUGAUGACGCCGAAAAUGUUGAUCUUGAAAUAACAGACCGGUGAGGUAUAUUUAUAUAAGCAGGCAUCUGGUGAUCAUCACAUGUUUUUAAUGAUUUGAAGAUAUAUUAACGAAUCGAUCUUUCUUCUUUCAGCCUCCGGAUCGAGCAAAUCUUCUACAGGACGCAAGACAUUGCGAGGCCCGGGCAAAAAGUUGAAGGAGGGCGUAAAGUACAACAUCGAUGCCAUCAUAACUGAUGGCGAACCACUAGCGCCUAAGAACAUUGGGAACAAGUUUGUUCGUCAAUGCGGAGUUCUUGUGAAGGACCAACUCCUGAUCUCCCUUCAAGAAUGGAAAGAGCCAGCAAAGAAACGUCUAGAUCUUACUUUUGUCGACGACAGAGCGAAAUCUCUGCUUUGGGAAAAACUCAUGGAGCAUUUCACCCUACCAGAUCAUUUCACAGAUGCAGAUGUGCAGAAAGUCAAGGACGCUGCUCUUAGGAAGAUGGCAAUUGCAUUCAACACCCACAAGAAAACUGUAUGGGCCAACUACAUCAAAGGAGGAAAGAAGACUCCAGAAUUCAAGGGAACACUGGAGAAGCAAAGAGAACACUGGCCCGCUUUCGUGAAAUUCAAGGAAUCAGAAUUAUCUAAGGAACGGUCGAGAAAAAACAAGGCCAAUGCCGCAAAAAAGGAGCAGUUCCAUAGGCUGGGGCCAGGUGGCUACGCGGUGGCAAUGCCUAAGUGGGAUAAGUCUGAGAAAGAGAUGCUGGGUGCAGAGGUCACUCCAGUUACUAAGAGCUGGCCCCCCAGGUGCAGAACUUGGUUCUAUGUGCAUGGGGGGGGGGGCGUUGGACCCGAAGACAGGCCAGGUUUCGAAGAAGGCAUGUCUUAAAGGAGCUGAAGAUAAGUUACUUGAUGCAAUAGAAGAUGCUCGAAAGGGGGUGUUCACGCCCAACAGAGAGAACGACGAGCUUACGCGUGCCUUGGGAAAUCCUGGACACCCAGGAAGAACACGAGGCAAGUGCGUUGUUUCGUGGUAUGAGGGCUUUUCGGAUUGGAACGCCGACUACGGAAGCCGUGUGAGAAGGAAGAAGCUGGAGGAGGAGCAGAGGAAGCAGGAAGCAGGAAGUAGAACGCCUUCAAGGCCUAGAAUCAGCGCACGCGGACUUGGCACUCAAAUUCCAGCAGCAGCAGCAGAUCGACUCAUUUAGCCAGGAAAGGGGGUCUCCUCCUCGAAGUCCGCCACCGCGUCAGCCGACUCCUCCUCGAAGUCCGCCACCGCGUCAGCAGACUCCCGCUCCUCCAAGUCCACCAACGCGCCAGGCCACUCCUCCUCCUCCAAGUCCGGCACAGCGUGGGGCCACUCCUCUUGCUUCAAGUACGGCACAGCGUCAGGCCACUCCUUUUGCUCCAACUCAGCCACGUCUGUCGUCUCUGCUGCCUCAGCAAUCGCAGAAGAGAGCCGCCGCAGCUAUGGUGCGUAGCGGUACCAGUCGAGGUAGUACAGGAGGUACAGGCGGAGGCAAGCGAUAUCAAUAUGGUCCAAGCCUCACUCCUCUUCCUCAGAGGCCUUACGACAUGACCGAGGAGCAAAACACAGCCAUAGUGAAGGCCCAAGUGGACGCCCAUUUUGGAUCGAAACCGCCACCGCCGCCAAAGGAGAAAGUGCCUGAGAAAGUCCUUGACCACUUUAUUCAUAUGGCAAGAAAACCAGCUCCCAAGCCUGUUGACUCAGACUAUGAGUGCCAAAUCAGGAAGGCACAUCAAGCACGACUACAGAAGGUGUCGAGCUCGAGCUCGAACCAAGCAGCUGGCAAAAAAUGCGGGAAGACCGUUCCCCAGCUGGGAGAACAGGCGGCGCUAUCGAUCCCCUCGCUUGUUUUACCAACACAUGAGAGUACUGGCGCCGGUCAGCUGGUAAUAACCGAUGAGCAUAGAAGGCAGGCUGAAAUGCUCGGUAUCACUGUUGGACAACUCCUCGAGAUCGAGCCCAUGUCUUCGCUUAGAGAGGAGGACAUAAAACAGAAAUAUGUUCGCGGCGAACCUUUGGUCGAGCCUGAGGAGGUCAAGAACCUCCCAACGAGAAUGUAUGAAUUGCAUGAUUGGUACAUGAAAAUUACCAAGAGUUCCAAUCGAGAGUCCCUCAUGGUGAACGUCAAGGAAGAGCAUUACUUCCAUGCGCUAGCUCUAUCCGUUGAGUAUUCAAAACUAUUUCAGUUAUUCAAUCAAGAGGCACUCGACAAAUCUCUCGUCAGUUGCUAUUGUCUGUAAGUGAUUUCUUUCUGUAAUUUAAGUCUCAAGCUAGUUGUAGUGCUCAUUGAUCGAUCAUUACAUGUAAUUAUCCUCACUAUAUUCUUUUCUGUGGUAUUAUGCAGGAUGAAGAUGUAUGAAAUGAAAAAAGUUGGACGCUAUGGCAAUGGGUUCAUUGACCCAAAUACCAUUAAUGAAGACACAUGGAAAUUGGAAUAGUAUAAAGCAGAUGUAGAGAGAAGAAAUGCUAGAGUUCUUGAAGCGCCUCAAUACCAAUGAAGAUAUACUACUUCCUUACAACUUCCUGUGAGUCACACUGUCUUGUACUACAAAUUCUGUUUUUGCUUACGAGCUAGCUAGAUGUUAAUAAUUAAGUGUAUAGGGUUUAGGGUAUAGUUGAUGAGUGUUAUGCACAUGCCCGCUUAUUUAAGACAUGCAAACGUGUGCGCAUGCAGUUACCACUGGAUCUUGUUAGUCAUUAAAGUUGAAGAAGGAACAGUUGAAGUAUUGGAUUCACUACUUAAAAAACAAAGUGACUACUCAAUCUUGAAGGGGAUAGUCGACAGGUAAUUUCAAUCAUUAUUAACUAUAUCUCGGCCUCUUUAGUUCGUCUUUUCCUGAUAUCAACUAUUUAAUAACUCUUUUAUUCAUUUUCGUUGCCGGCGGGCAGGGCUUGGGAAAAGUUCAUCAACGUGACUCCAGGCCAAUGGCGAAAAAAGCUGUGUUGGUUUCGACCCAAGGUAAGUAAUUAAGUGGUACUAGCUAGCUACCAUCUCUUUAAUUCUUGUUUCAAUACCAUUAAUUAUCAUGCUUGAUUAAUUAUUAUCUGAUUAAAAUCUAUUCUCGUAAAGGCCCUAAAGCAGGCGCUGGGGACUGAAGUGUGUGCAUACUAUGUUUGCGAGAACAUUCGCAAGAUGGUGUCCGAAAGGAGCAAAUCUGAUAGACAGCAAUGGGUACGUUUCCCAGAACACUAUUCUCAAUUUUUAAAUCAUUAUCGAUAUCUAGUCACACAACUAAUACACAUGCAUAUUGAUCUCCUUCUUAACAGUUCAAAGAUGUGCGGGAGCAGCUCCUACCAACGGAGCGCAUACGAGCACUUGAAGAGGAAAUAGCGGGAUUUUUGCUCGACCAGGUCAUAGAUCCCAAAGGAGAAUACCAUUACCCGCUACCGCCCCCAUGAACCACUCCCAAUUAUCAUCGUGCUCCGAAGGCACCAAGGCAACAUGUAGGAGAAAUUGUAUAUAUACCUAAUUGUAUAUAUACAUGUGGAUGUGUGAAUAAUGGUGGUUGUGAGACAUUCGAUGAUAUAUAUAUAUAUAUAAAUUCUAUUCACAUAUAUGCAUAACGUGUACAAUAUGUAGUAUCGUAAAAUACCAGCAAACGAAAAAGAAUUAAAUGGAAAACACCAAAUUAAAGGAAAAAGAAAUCAUGAAUCCAAAACCCCCCAGACAUUUUAGUACCGGUUGGUGUUACCAACCGGUACUAAAGGGUUCCCCGCCCCCGGCGCUGGCACGUGCCACGUGGUGGCCCUUUAGCGGCGGUUCGUGCAGAACCGAUACUAAAGGGGGGACCUUUAGUCCCCACCCUUUAGUGCCGGUUACAGAACCGGCACUAAAGGCCCUUAUGAACCGGUGCUAUAGCCCGGUUCUACACUAGUGAGGUGAGGCCUGUCGCACAGACCCCAGUCGUCGUUGCACCAGUCGCACUCCCCCGGGAGAAUUUCGUCGUCCGAUGACGAAAUUUCCUAGGUUCAUAAUUCAAAGAUUAAACUUGUACAAUUAAAUAUAUGUACUACAAAAACUAAAUUAGAUCAUUGUUAUUCAUCGGGUUGACUAUCGGUCCGCCGAGUCUUUUCUUAAAAACUCUCUGCUCACGUGGUGUAUACAUUCGGCCGUUGGUGAUGAUCGCUCCUCGUUUCGUCCCCGAGUACAUUACACCAAAAUGUCUAGCACACGGGAACGAAGGAGAAGCGACCCCCAUGACAACAGUCGGGAUUUUUCGUCCUCUCAUAUAUGGUGGAGACUCUCCCUCACUGAUUCCUCCCUGACAUUUGCGACCGUCGGUGAUGGUCGUUACUCCUCCUUCCCCUAGUGCAAAACAAAGGUCUAGAACAAGGAGAAAAAGGAGAAACGACCCCCACGACAACAGUCGGGAUUCUUCGUCCUCUCUCAUAUAUGGUGGAUACACUCCCUCAUAGAUUUUUCGACCGUCAGUGAUGGCCGUUAUUCCUCCUUCCCCUAGUGCAUAACAAAGGUCUAGCACAAGGAGAAGAAGGAAAAAAUGACCCCCACCACAAUAGUCGGGAUUCUUCUUCUCUCAUAUAUGGUGCAGACUUUCUCCCUCACUCAUUUGUUGACUAUCAUGUAUGGAGCCUCGACAGACUUAAAGUAAACCCGAAAUGUCGUUUAAUUAUUUUUCUAGAAAAUCCAGGCCACUCGAUAUUUCCUACAUUAGCACAAGUCAUGCCAAAAUUCACAGAAAAAUCCGGCAUGACCUUUGCUAAAAAAGGAUAUAUCGAGCGCCUGAAAUUUGUCGGAACGGAAAUUAAUCAACACUCUGGCAAAACAUAGGUCACUCGGAGGUGUAACCUGCAAACAUGGUCGGCCACUUGAGCAAGCACAUAUCCUAUUUGAGCAACACAAGAUAUACAUGUUUAUAUCUACAUCAUAUGAGCAUUCAAACUUGAUGGUCAUUGCAUUUCAAUGGUUGAAAAUAUGAACAAAAACAUUUCAAAAUAUCUUAUAGGACUCAUAUUGACAUGGAGAUUUGGCUGGUCUCACCUCGAGGCCAGAGGGGGUCGGUGACGGGGACGACGGCGGGGAUGAUGGAGGGGCUCCUUGAUUUCUGCAAAAACAAAAACCCUAUAAGCUAUCAACUAAUCAAAUGCAUAUGCCUUGCAUAGUGCUCUCCAAUUUGAGCAUUCAAAAUAGGACUAGUUCUCCAAUUUGAGCAUUCGAUAAGCAAAACCAAAUCAUAAAAUAAAUUAGUAUUCAAAUUAGCAUGCAUUCAAUAAGAGAAACUAAAUCAUCUCUUGCGUCCGUACAUUGUCGAAUAUUAUCACUAAUACAUCUCGAAUAGUAUCAUACAUAUAACAUCACUAAUACAGCUAAAACCCUAGCAAACGACGGGUAUCGGCGCGAGCGGUGGACACCCAAAGAGAAGGAAGCAUCACAGGAUCAUAGCUCCAGUGAGAUCCCUGAAGAACCUACCCUCCAACGCAACCAUGUAGCGACGGACGUGCUCGUCCUCCUCGCUGACACGGUGACGUACCACCUCCGCGGGGUCCUCAAGCCUCUGCACCGUCACUGGCGCACGCGAACGCCACAAAAGAAGGUUCGGGUCAACGACAGGUUGGCUCCUCACCAAGUUGUGCCCCCGGAAGCAGGACCUCCUAGUACCCGCCCGGUGGAGCCCAGUCCCAGACAUGGCCCCUCUGAUCAAGUAGGCCUCCUCCGUCGAGUCAACGACGAGGAUGCUGUAUAGGUAUCGUCGACGUUGAUGCAGGAAUAAUUGCUUUAACUAAAAAAUGAACUAGUUCUAUAGUAAAAUAUUAAUUAGAUCAUCAAAUCUCAUAUAUCUAAAUUUUCUUACAAAAAAUAAACUAGUUCUAUUAAUUCAACUAGUUCAACUAAGCACUUACUAUAAAUAAAAAUAAACUAGUACUUACUAAAAAUAAACUAGUUCUAUUAAUUUUCUAACUAAUUCUAUUAAACACUUACUAAAAACAGUAAAAAAACUAUAUUGAAUUUUUCCUCUAAACUAAACACUACUGCCCUAAAUUAACAUCUAAUUAGUUACCUAACCUAAUUAACAUCUACUUAGUUACCUAACCUACUUCCCUAACUAAAAAACAUCUAAUUAACAAUACCACUACUGCCCUAACCUAAUUAACAUCUUCUUAGUUAACCAAAUUAGUUAACCAAACAUCUAAAAACAUAUAAUUAACCUAGUUAGUAAACCAAAUUAACCUAGCUAUUUCACUUAGUUCAACUUAGUUAACCUAAUGAACUAAAUUCACCUAAGUUAAUUAACCUAGAGGGAGGAGGAGUACCCCUCGAUGGAGGACGGCCAGCGCGGGGGGGGGAGGAGGGCCGCCGCGGGAGGUCGGUCGGUGCGGGAGGNNNNNNNNNNNNNNNNNNNNNNNNNNNNNNNNNNNNNNNNNNNNNNNNNNNNNNNNNNNNNNNNNNNNNNNNNNNNNNNNNNNNNNNNNNNNNNNNNNNNNNNNNNNNNNNNNNNNNNNNNNNNNNNNNNNNNNNNNNNNNNNNNNNNNNNNNNNNNNNNNNNNNNNNNNNNNNNNNNNNNNNNNNNNNNNNNNNNNNNNNNNNNNNNNNNNNNNNNNNNNNNNNNNNNNNNNNNNCAGUAGCGCUUCCUACAUAAAAGCGCUACUACUAUGGCUGGCCUGCCGGCAACGGUCUGGCAAUUUUAGUAGUAGCAUGUUUUAUGAACACAACGCUACUGGUAAGUGCAUAGUAGCAGCGCUUAUCAUGUGCAAGCGCUACUGAUAAGUAGUAGUAGUGGUUUCUUAUAAAAAGCACUACUAAUAAGCUCAUGUGUAUAGGCAUUUCCCUAGUAUUGUGUGGCCAACGUGGCAUCAAUCAAAUCACCGACCAUCUGGGGAGGGUUGUUUAUUCGUGCACCAUAAGGCUGCAUCAUCUCCUUCCUAGGGAUCCAGUUCUCAUUCCAAAUGCUAGUGGAAUUACCAUUGCCAAUAGUCCAUCAAGCCCUGUUUCAAUAUGUCUCGGCCUUCCACUAUGGAUCUCCAAACUUGGCUCGGAUGGCUGCCUAGCCUCACCUGACAGGAUAGAUGACUCCGGAAAGUAUAUGCUUCUAAGAAUCCGAGCACUUAGCGACUCCGGGUGUUGAAGGAUCCUCCAUGCCAGUUUUGCCAAAAGUGCUAAAUUGAAUAAUUCAAAAUCCUUGAAUCCCAAGCCUCCCAUGCUCUUUGGUUGUGUCAUCGCCUCCCACGAGACCCAAUUUGGUUGGCGCUUUCCAUCUUUGCUCCCCCACCAGAACUUACGAUUAGCAUGUUUAGAUGUUCACAUAGUCCCCUAGGCAACUUGAAACAUGACAUAUAGAAAAGUGGUACUGCCUGGGCCACUGAUUUCACUAAAACCUCCUUGCCUGCUGUUGACAUCGUUUUCUCAAUCCAUCCUUGAACUUUACUUGAGUGCACCAUUCUUGGAGGAUCCCACAUCAGAGGGCAUCUCUAAGUAUUUUGCACUUAAAUUCUCAUUUGGAACUUGCAGCAAUGCCUUUACCUCCUCUUUUAUACUGUCAGGGCAUUUCUUACUGGAGAAAAUUGAGGAUUUCUCAUGAUUAAUCCUUUGUCCCGAAGCCUGACGAUAUUGUUCAACAACUGGUUUACCUCAUUCGCCCCAUCUGCACUAGCCUUAAAAACAGUAGGCUGUCAUCAGCGAAUAAUAAGUGAUUAACUGGUGGUGCAGAAGCUGCCACCUGUAUCCCACCUAUGUUGGAUGACUCGUCAAUAGAUUUUAAGAGACACGAAAGGCCCUCUACUGCAAUCAAGAAUAGAUAUGGGGAAAUAGGGUCUCCCUGUGAAUUCCACGAGAAGGUUUUAACUCUUCUAGCUUCCUGCCAUUAAAAAGAACUGAGAAUUCCACAGAUCUUACCAUGCCCAUGACUAUAUUUACCCACAUCUCGAUGAACCCCAAUUUCAACAUAAUUCCUGGAGGUAAUCCCACUCUACUCUGUCAUAUGCCUUCAUCGUGUCAAGUUUUAGUGCACAGUGGUUGUUUCUCUUAGAUAUGUUAUGCUUCAUGAAGUGAAGACACUCAUAGGCAGUAAUAUGUUGUCAGUGAUAAGCCUGCCAGCAACAAAGGCAGGUUGUUCCUCUGAGAUGAUGUCAGGAAGCACUAACUUGAGCCUAUUUGAUAUCACCUUGGAUGCUAUCUUGUAAAGCGCACUACAAAGUGAGAUAGGUCUAAACUGUGUCAAUGAACUGGGGUUCUUUACCUUCGGUAUAAGGAUAAGGAUUGUGUCAUUUAUGGACUCCACUGAUUCAGUUCCAUUGAUGAUGCGAAGAAAAAUAUAUGUUACCUCUGUCCCACAAACUUCCCAAUGCCGCUGAAAGAAAUGUGCUGGAAAUCCAUCUGGACCCGGCGCCUUCGUGGGAAACAUUUGGAAAAGGUCUACCUUGACUUCCUCUUGCAUGUAAUCCGCUUCCAGAAUCUGGUUCAUCACCGGGGUGACCUUUGGGGGUACCGAGUCAAGCAUCCGAUUAGUAUCAUGUACUCCCUCAGACAAAUACAAGUUGCCGUAACAAUUUGUAGCGUGCUCUUCCAUCUCGGCUACAUCCUCGGUCUCCCACCCAUCUAGUAGUCGUAGAGCCUUGAUCUAAUUAUUUUUCCUCCGUCUACUUGCCCUUAAGUGGAAAAAAUAUGUGUUCUUAUCACCAUGUACUAACCACUCCACCCGGGCCCUCUGACGUGAUAGGAUCUCUUCUCUAUUGAACAGUUCAACCAGCCGGUCACACGCUUUAAUCUCUGCCCAAGAAGGUUCGGUUCUUCCUGGGACAGCACGUAGCAAAGCCAGCUAAUUCUGUAAGCUUCGGAUCUCGCGCCUGACAUUGCCAAAAACAUUGUGAUCCCAUGCAGCUAGAUCUUCUGAAAGCAACCCGAGCUUUUCUUUAAUCCCUUGAACAGUUCCCUCCUGUUGCUAUCCCCAACCUUUUGCCACAAUAGCCACUAGCAUCUCAUGUGAUUCCUAUUGGAAAUAUGAGCAAUUUACCGAAUAAUUUUAUUAAUGGAAAUACUAGAUAAAGCAUGACUAAUAUAACAGAGAUAAAGCAAGUCAUGCAAUCUGACAGAGAGAAGGUAAAUAGCAUCUGCAUAUAUGAACUAGAAUGAGUAUGAGAACAUACGGAAUAGGAGCAGAAGCACUGGUCUUGGGGUCGGUGUCCUCGCCAGCCAUGUCAUCGAGGAGGUUGUCGAUGUCGGGGAAGAAGUCGUCGUCGGGGAAGUAGUCGUCGGAGUCCGGGGCGUCCGUGAUGAAGAAGUCAGUAGUCGCGCGGAGUGCUCCCCAAAAACCUUAUCACCCUCCUCCCGUUCAGGACUCAAAGAGGUGCGGUUUUGGAGGCCUACUGUCCUAACUCGCGGUGCACGCCGCAAGCUAGGAUGAGGAAGACAGCAACAUCUCGGAGAUUGGAACCGGUGGCGAGAGGAAGAAGAAGUUAUGGUGCGUCUCCCUGAGAGGAGUGACCUCCCUUUUAUUGGCGCAAGAGAAGGAGGCGAGAGGCCAGCGAUGGGAGAUGAAGAAAAAGAGGGAGACGAAGCGAACAGACUUCAGCCGAAGAGGCGCGCCGUUCGGAUUUAGUGUCCACUACAGAAAAUGCUUCAGCUCUCACGUGACCUUUCGUAUACCCGUCGUGCGUGGCAAAAAUUUAGACAUCAGCUCGGCUCAUUCCCUCGACCGCAACCCACAUCACGGCGCGGCGCAUCAUGACGAGGCGUGGCGUGGCGAGGCGGGCGGCGGAGGAGGAGCACGAUGGAUGUCCCUCUUGUUCUCAUGCUCAUACAUGUGGGGAAAGAACCUCCCUCAUAAAGAGGUCCAACUCCCUCUAAACUAGCAAUGUGGGACUAAACUUUAGUAGUGCCCCUUGCCUUGCACGAAUGGGCUAAGUGGCCUCUAGGAUUUAUUAGGAAUUUCUGAAAUUUUGAUUGGGCUGGCCCAUAAUUAGAUAAAAUUCCAGCAAUCCCCCACCAGAUCCAAGAGGCACACAAAAUUUGCCUUUGGUUCCAAAACACUGUUUUAUAUACCGGUAUUGCAGUGGAGACUGUUAAAGUUGAACUUCCACCUAGAACUCUAUGCUACACUAGUAAGCAACUUGAACAGUGGACUGGGCCUUGAACUGCAAGUUUUCUGCGAAUCUAGCUUCACACAAAUCCUUGACCGAUACUAGGCUACCGUGGAUCUUUCCCGUGGGUGGAGCUUAUGCGUCAUACUCCGUGUCCUUUCAUGAGUUAACUAGAGAGAACCAUACUCUCAUAGAUUGCGACAUUUGACAAUCAGACUCAUAUAGGUGUGUUCUUCAAAAGAUUAUCUGCAGGACAACAUCUCUACUUCAAUGAGCCACUUAGAACACAUUAAGAUAUACAUCAACCUGCCAUGUAGAUUUAGGAGAGUAUUGCAUCUUCAUGGAGUGGUAUUGUUAACAGUAAGGAUACUCUCCUCUUAGUUGACCAAUAGCUUGUCUUCCACAUCUAAUUCACGGGAUCUCCGAUCACAUAGACUAGGUUACCACUGUGAACAACUCAUAUUGCGGGUCUCAUACCCAUAUCCUUCGAUGCAUUAUAUAUCACAUUAUGUGAUAGACCCUUAGUAAAAGGAUUUGCCAGAUUUUUAGAUGUUUGGAUAUAUCCAAUGCAAUAACUCUGGAGUUUUUUAUUUUCCUGACAGACUUUAACCUUCUCUGAACGUGUCUUGAUGACUUCAUGUUAUCCUUUGAGCUGCUCACUUUCGUGAUCACAGUUGAUUGUCGCAGUUCAUAAGGAUACCCGGUACAAGUUUCUCCACAACCGGCAAGUCAUUCAAAAGCCGAUGAAGCCAAUCUGCUUCGACCGUAGCUGUAUCUAGUGUUGUGAGUUCUGCUUCCAUUGUUGACCUCGUUAAGAUGGUCUGCUUGCAAGACUUCCAAGAAACAGCGCCACCUCCAUGAGUGAAUACAUAUCCGCUCGUGGCCUUUAUCUCAUCAGCAUCUGAGAUCCAGUUUGAGUCACUAUACCCUUCAAGCACCUUUGGCUGCCCAGUGUAGUGAAUUCCAUAAUUCGGAGUGCCUUUCAAAUAACGCAAAACUCUCUCUAGAGCUUUCCAAUGCACAUCUCCUGGUUUUGAGACAAACCGACUCAGUUUGCUAACAGCAAAAGAGAUGUCAAGUCUUGUAGCACUGGCUAAGUACAUAAGCGAGCCUAUAACCUGAGAAUAUUUCAAUUGAUCUCUAGCAAUUCUUCGAUUCUUUCGAAGCAGCAUGCUAGCAUCAUAUGGUGUUGGAGAGGGCUUGCAGUCACUAUAGCCAAAGCGACUCAAGAUCUUUUCCACAUAGUGAGACUGAAGCAGUGUAAUCCCAUCAUCAUCGUCUCUCAACAACUUGAUGUUCAGAAUGACAUCAGCCACUCCUAAAUCCUUCAUCUCAAAAUAGCGAGAUAGAAAAUCCUUGACCUCCUUAAUAACAUUCAGAUUUGUUCCGAAAAUCAGUAUGUCAUCAACAUACAAGCAAAGGAUAACUCCCUCGCCCCCACCAUGGCGAUAGUACACACAUUAUCAGCUUCGUUUACAACGAAGCCUGCAACUGUUAAUGUCGGAGUAAAUGACCACGGGUAGCCUCAUCGGCCCCCCAUGGUAUUUCAAGGCAUCGGGGCUAGCUGCGCCCCUCAAAGCAUCUAAGCCGAAUGGCCGCAUUCUUGGGCCGGCUGGUCCAACCGGCCGGCUGCUAGAAGGCGGCGGAACCCAGAAGGCGGCCACAAUGUAGGCCGGCUCCUGGCAGGCGGCCCCUCGUCCUCUCGUAGUUAGCACCUCAUUACCAUGAUGAGACAGGGCGUGGCCACAGUGCUGCCUGCCACCCCCGAAUCCGAGGCCGAACGUGGUCAUAGUGUAGCGUACUAGGCGGACAUCCCUUGCCCGGCGCAACACUGUUGCCACGCUACCCGUGACAUCAUCCAUGGCAGAGGAAGCCAUGCUCCCACGACGGGCUGUCGGUACGGCCCGCAGGCGGUGGGCCCUACCUAUCCGUGAGAUACCAGAUGGCGGCGAGCCCUGACCAGGCGGCACGGGGGUGGGCCGACUCCUAGCAGGCAGCCUUCCUCCUCCCUUGGAGUCUGUGCGCCAUUAACUAGAUAAGACGGGAUGUGGCUACAGUGAGCGCCCGCCAGGCGGUGGGACUGUAGCCAUGCUCCCCCCGACAAAGCCUCCGUCAUCAGGGGCGAGGCUACAGUAUAGAGCAGCUGACAUGACCCAUAGGCGGCGGGCCCUACCUGUCGACCGAGAGCACGGCAGCUGGCGAGACCCACCAGGCAGCGGACCCCACUCGGCCGGAUUACCAUUGUACCCCUGGGGGUAGGCCUAUAUAAACCCCCCAGGUCACCCAUGCAAAAGGUUCAGACUUUAGACACCACACACACAUAGAGAGAGUGGAGUAGGGCUAGCCUUGUUCUUCUCGCUCCUCUAGCCAAAACAGCUCAAGGAGCAAGCUUGUAGCUCCCUUGUUGAGAUAGUGAUCAUGCGGAGACCCCGCAGAGCAAGACAAGGGGUGUUAUCUCCUAGGAGAGCCCCGAACCUGGGUAAGACUCGCCGGCACAGGCGAUCUCGCUCACUCCCGCUUCUAGGCACCGGCGACGUACUCUUGUCCUCCUCCAUGAUAAGCCACACCCUGGCAUAUGUCGCUAGAUAUCCCUGACAUUUGGCACCCACCGUGGGGCUAGGUGCACCGUCGUCCGGAGACAUGUUCUCGACGGGAACCCUCUUCCUUCCUAGUGAGCAUAGCCAUCCCGACAAGCCCGAUGGCGUUUGCGCCGAUGCGCUGCAUGGCGCAGAAGUCGCUUGCGCGGCGAGCUGCCUCGUUGAUCUCAUCGGCGGGAUCCGCCUCCCCGACGAGCCCUCACCCGACGCGGGAGCGGCUAGCUCUGAGAGCUGCCUCAUCGACCUCCUCGGCAAGCUUCACAUCGCCAACGAGCCGGCCUCUAACCUAGAGUCAGUUGGCUCCACUGACCCGAUGCUCGUCGACUCUGACGCGGCGUCCCUCGACGCUUUCCCCACCAACAUGGUGAUCUUCGACGACCCCCUCCCUCGCACGGACAGCAACGGCAGCACCGUCACGGAGGUGCUUGUCAUCAGCCACAAUGAAGCGUCUGGUGGGGCCGGCCAGGAUCUGCUGUAGGCGGCAGUGCGGAACCUGUCCGCGCCCACCACGGCAGACGCCAAUGGCGAGACACUGGAAGCCUGCCGCAUCGCACUCCUCGAGAGCGCCAACAAGUUGAAGGCCAUGAGGCGCCUCACUGAAGCCUACCAGUGCGAGAUCGACCGCGCCGUCUGCGGCACGCUGGCUACUGGCGAGCCCAGCCGUGUGGGCACGGUCCGACAACGCGGUGCGGCCACCGCCAGCAUGUUGGGGGCCGACCGCCCAGUCUACGCCACGCCUAUGGAGAACCUACGCACUGCCCACGCAGCAGCUGACGAGCUGGACCACCUGGAGGGCGACGAGCGUCGCUGCAUGACGGAGCGCGUUCAGCAGCUCCUCGACGUGGCCGCCGCGUGGUGGAGCCCGACCAGCAGGCUGAGAACCCCCCUCCCCCCGCCGAGAACACGGCGUGACCUCUCGGUCGCCGACAGCUAGCGCCCGAGACCGAAGAGACCAAGAGCCGGCUGCUAGCCGCAGCCGCACACGCAUCACCAUCGAGCGCGACCCAGACGGCCACCCAUGAGUAGUGGAACGGCGGGACGAUCGUCCGCCUCCCUGCCGCUUGUAGAGAAUCCGACUUUCGGAGGCCGCCUGGGCCCCCGUGAAGGAGUCGGAGAGAAUGACGCUCGCCACCGGAUCGACCGACUGGCCCGGUCCCUGGCAGUAGAAGAAGAAGAUGCAAUCGGCCCGCCUUGUUUUGGCCCCCGCAUUCGUGACGAGCCCUUCCCCAAAGGGUUCUCGCUCCCUCGAGACACUCCCAAGUACAACGGCUCCAUGAAGCCGGAAGAUUGGCUGGUUGACUACUCCACCGCAGUCAACAUAGCAAACGGCAACAAGCGUGUUGCCAUGAAGUACGUUCCGCUCAUGCUCCAGGGCACGGCCCGGACAUGGCUGAACAGCCUCGAGCCCUACAGCGUCAACAGCUGGUUGGACUUCACCGAAGUCUUCAUCCGCAACUUCACCAGGACUUACAAGCGGCCGCCCAAGCCUCGCCAGCUCUCUCUGUGCGUCCAAGGCCCCACUGAGUCCACCCGCAACUACCUGACGCGGUGGGCCGAACUGCACAACUCCUGCGAAGGGGUGCACGAGUUGCAAGCCAUAGAGUACCUCACCACCGGGUGCAGAGAAGGUACCCUACUCAAGCACCGACUCCUCUGCGAUGAGCCGGCCGCACUUGACGAACUACCGAUCAUAGCAGACAAGUACGCCACUGCCACUCCUCCAUGAAGUCGGAGCUCCUGGUGGACAUGUCCGGGAAGGUGCUCCCUCCGGCUCCUCGAACACCGGCUGGUGACUCCAGUCGGCGCCAGCAGCAGAGCGACAACAAGCGCAAAGCCCCGCAGCCGCCUUCUACCAGCCGGCAGGUGGCAACUGUUGAAGACCAGCAGCCGGAGGGCCAACCCCUCCCCAAGCGUCAGAAGGGCGGCAAGCCUGCUUGGUUGCCCGCCUUCUCCUAUGAGCAAACCCUCGAUGCUCCCUGCAAGUUCCACAGCGACGCGAAGCCGUCCAAUCACACCACGCAGAAGUGCCACUGGCUCACCCGAAUCGCCAAGGGCGAAGGACUGCCGCCUCCGCCUCCUCCUCAGCAGCAGGCGGCCCGUCCAGUCGCCGCCAUCCAGGACGAAUUCCCUUAAGAACACGGAGCCUACGUCGUCUUCACCAUCGUGGCCGAUGAUAGGCACAACCGACGCUAGCAGCACAGAGAGGUGAAUGUUGUCGCUUCUGAAGCCCCAGAUUUCAUGCAUUGGUCCGAAAGGUCCAUCAGUUGGAGCCGUGCUGACCACCCGGAGGUGAUGCCUUCUCCGGGGUCUUACGCCCUGGUGUUGGAUGCCACCUUUUCAACGGAGAGGUGAGCUGCUCGCUUCUCCCGAGUCCUGAUAGACAGCGGUAGCAGCAUCAACAUCCUUUACCGCGACACCAAGGAGAAACUGCACAUCAAAGAGAAGCAACUCCAGCCCAGUCGGACUGUCUUCCACGGCAUUGUACCUGGCCUUUCCUGCUCACCAAUCGGCAAGAUCAAGAGAGAUGUCCUAUUUGGAGACAAGGGUCACUUCCGCCGCAAGGCAAUUUGGUUCGAGGUGGUUGACCUGGAGAGCCCUUAUCACGCGCUCCUAGGCCGGCCAGCUCUAGCCAAAUUCAUGGCGGUACCGCACUAUGCCUACCUCAAGAUGAAGAUGCCGGGUACCAAGGCAUUAUCAUCGUAGCCGGAGACUACAAGAAGUCGGCCGCAUCUGCUACUGCUAGCAGCUGGCUGGCCGAGUCCCUUGUGAUUGCUGCCGAAACGAAGCUCCUUGACCGGGUUGUGGCCAUGGCCAGCAAGCAGCCGGACAUGUCGCCAGAUCCCAAGGAGUCAGAGACCCAGGGCUCCUUCCAGCCGGCCAAAGAAACCAAGAAGAUACCCUUGGACUCGGACCACCCGGAGAGGCACGCUAUCGUGGGGACCAACCUCAAUAUCAAAUAGGAAAGCUAGCUCGUCGAUUUCCUCCGUGAGAAUCGGGACAUCUUCGCAUGUCUCCCAAAGACAUGCCGGGUGUUCCGACGGAUUUCGCCGAGCACAAGCUACACGUCAGAUCAGAUGCAAAUACAGUCAAGCAGCCUCUCUGCCGCCUAUCAGAAGAGAAGAGAAGAAUUGUUGGUGAAGAGAUAGCUCGGCUUCUAGCAGCCGGCUUCAUUAUGGAAGUGUUUUUUCCAGAGUGGCUUGCCAACCCAGUCCUUGUACUGAAGAAGAACAACAAAUGGCGCAUGUGUAUAGAUUACACUAGCCUCAACAAAGCCUGUCCCAAAGAUCCGUUUGCUCUGCCCCGGAUAGAUCAAGUGAUAGACUCCACAGCCGGAUGCGAGCUGCUGUCUUUCCUUGAUGCCUACUCCGGCUACCACCAGAUUAAGCUGAACCUGGCCGAUCGGCUGAAGACCGCCUUCAUCACACCAUUCGGAGCCUUCUGCUACCUGACCAUGACAUUCGGCUUGAGAAAUGUCGGUGCCACCUUUCAGCAUUGCAUGCAGAAGUACCUCCUCAAGCAACUCGGCAGAAAUGCCCAUAUCUACGUAGACGAUAUUGUGGUGAAGACGGAGAAGCGCGGCACCCUCUUGGAAGAUCUCAAGGAGACUUUUGAUAAUCUGUGCCGUUUUCAAAUCAAGCUCAACCCAGAGAAGUGUGUCUUCGGAGUCCCAGCCGGCCAGCUCCUUGGUUUCCUUGUCUCGGAACACGGCAUCGAGUGCAACCCUGUCAAGAUCAAGGCCAUCGAGCGGAUGGAGAGACCUACCCGACUGCGAGACGUCCAGAAGUUCACCGGGUGCUUGGCAUCCAUCAGCCUCUUCAUCAGUCGGCUGGGCGGGAAGGCUCUCCCCCUGUACCAGUUGAUGAAGAAAACCACUCACUUUGAGUGGAAUGACAAGGCGGACGAGGCCUUCCUCCAGCUCAAGAAGAUGUUGACCACGCCACCUGUCCUGGCGGCUCCGGCUGCUAAGGAGCCCAUGCUCCUCUACAUCGCCGCCACUAGCCGGGUGGUCAGCACUGUCAUUGUGGUAGAGCGCCCAGAAGAAGGCAAACCACAGCCGGUCCAGAGGCCUGUGUACUACUUGAGUGAGGUGUUGUCGGCCUCAAAGCAAAACUACCCCACUACCAGAAGAUGUGCUACGGCGUGCACUUCGCUGCCAAGAAGCUAAAGCCAUACUUUCAAGAGCACCCCAUCACGGUUGUCUGCACCACCCCGCUUGCUGAGAUCAUAGGCAACAGAGAUGCAUCAGGCCGGGUGGCCAAAUGGGCCAUCGAGCUGGGCCCCUACACCAUCUUCUACCAGCCUCGCACCGCCAUCAAGUCCCAAGCGCUGGCCGACUUCCUCGUCGACUAGGCCGAGGCCCAGUUCCUGCUGCCAGCGCCGGAUUCCACCCAUUGGCGGAUGCACUUUGAUGGCUCGAAGAUGCGCACCGGUCUGGGAGCCGGCAUCGUCCUCACUUCUCCCAAUGGCGACAAGCUCAGAUACACGCUGCAAAUCCAUUUUGCCGCCUCCAACAACGUGGCCGAGUACGAGGCGCUAGUACACGGCCUCCGGCUCGCCAAGGAGAUUGGCAUCCACCGGAUUCUGUGCUACGGCGACUCGGACUUGGUGGUCCAAUAGUCGUCUGGCGAUUGGGACGCCAAGGAUGCAAACAUGGCAAGCUACCGCUUCCUCGUGCAACAGAUCAGUGGAUACAUCGACGGGUGCGAGUUCCUUCACGUGCCACGGGCCAACAACGAGCAAGCAGAUGCCCUGACAUGCAUUGGCUCUACCUGGUAGGCCAUAUUGCUACCUCUUGAGCACUGCGUUGGUUUUCCAUUGAAGAGGAAAGGGUGAUGCAGCAAAGUAGCGUAAGUAUUUCCCUCAGUUUUUGAGAACCAAGGUAUCAAUCCAGUAGGAGGCCACGCAUGAGUCCCUCGCACCUACACAAACAAAUAAAUCCUCGCAACCAACGCGAUAAGGGGUUGUCAAUCCCUACACGGUCACUUACGAGAGUGAGAUCUGAUAGAUAUGAUAAGAUAAUAUUUUUGGUAUUUUUGUGAUAAAGAUGCAAAGUAAAGAAAGUAAAAUAAAAGCGGCAAUGGAAAUAGCUUGUUGUUGGAAGAUUAAUAUGAUGAAAAUAGACCCGGGGGCCAUAGGUUUCACUAGUGGCUUCUCUCAAGAGCAUAAGUAUUUUACGGUGGGUCAACAAAUUACUGUUGAGCAAUUGACAGAAUUGAGCAUAGUUAUGAGAAUAUCUAGGUAUGAUCAUGUAUAUAGGCAUCACGUCCGAGACAAGUAGACCGACUCCUGCCUGCAUCUACUACUAUUACUCGACACAUCGACCGCUAUCCAGCAUGCAUCUAGUGUAUUAAGUUCAUAAGAACAGAGUAACGCUUUAAGCAAGAUGACAUGAUGUAGAGGGAUAAACUCAUGCAAUAUGAUAUAAACCCGAUCUUGUUAUCCUCGAUGGCAACAAUACAAUACGUCCCUUGCUGCCCUACUGUCACUGGGAAAGGACACCGCAAAAUUGAACCCAAAGCUAAGCACUUCUCCCAUUGCAAGAAAGAUCAAUCUAGUAGGCCAAACCAAACUGAUAAUUUGAAGAGACUUGCAAAGAUAACCAAUCAUACAUAAAAGAAUUCAGAAGAUUCAAAUAUUGUUCAUAGAUAAACUUGAUCAUAAACCCACAAUUCAUCGGUCUCAACAAACACACCGCAAAAGAAGAUUACAUCGAAUAGAUCUCCACAAGAGAGGGGGAGAACAUUGUAUUGAGAUCCAAAUAGAGAGAAGAAGUCAUCUAGCUAAUAACUAUGGACCCGAAGGUCUGAGGUAAACUACUCACACAUCAUCGGAGAGGCUAUGGUGUUGAUGUAGAAGCCCUCCGUGAUCGAUGCCCCCUCCGGCGGAGCUCCGGAACAGGCCCGAAGAUGGGAUCUCACGGGUACAGAAGGUUGCGGCGGUGGAAUCAGGUUUUUGGCUCUGUAUCUGGUAGUUUGGGGGUACGUAGGUAUAUAUAGGAGGAAGGAGUACAUCGGUGGAGCAACGUGGGGCCCACGAGGGUGGAGGGCGCGCCCAGGGGGUAGGCGCGCCCCCUACCUCGUGGCUUCCUGGUAGCUUUCUUGACGUAGGGUCCAAGUCCUCUGGAUCAUGUUCGUUCCAAAAAUCACGUUCCCGAAGGUUUCAUUCCGUUUGAUAUUCUUUUUCUGUGAAACUCUGAAAUAGGCAAAAAAACAACAAUUCUAGGCUGGGCCUCCGGUUAAUAGGUUAGUGCCAAAAAUAAUAUAAAAGUGUAUAAUUAUGCCCAAUAAUGUCCAAAACAGAAUAUAAUAUAGCAUGGAACAAUCAAAAAUUAUAGAUACGUUGGAGACGUAUCAAGCAUCCCCAAGCUUAAUUCCUGCUCGUCCUCGAGUAGGUAAAUGAUAAAAACAGAAUUUUUGAUGUGGAAUGCUACUUGGCAUAAUUUCAAUGUAAUUCUUCUUAAUUGUGGUAUGAAUAUUCAGAUCCAAAAGAUUCAAUAUAAAAGUUCAAUAUUGACAUAAAAAUAAUAAUACUUCAAGCAUACUAACUAAGCAAUUAUGUCCUCUCAAAAUAACAUGGCCAAAGAAUGUUCAUCCCUACAAAAUCAUAUAGUUUAGUCAUGCUCCAUUUUCGUCACACAAGAAUGCUCUCAUCAUGCACAACCCCGAUGACAAGCCAAGCAAUUGUUUCAUACUUUAGUAAUCUCAAACUUUUUCAACCUUCACGCAAUACAUGAGCUUGAGCCAUGGAUAUAGCACUAUGGGUGGAAUAGAAUAUAAUGAUGGGGGUUAUGUGGAGAAGACAAAAAAGGAGAACGUCUCACAUCAACAAGGCUAAUCAAUGAGCUAUGGAGAUGCCCAUCGAUUAAUGUUAAUGCAAGGAGUAGGGAUUGCCAUGCAACGGAUGCACUAGAGCUAUAAAUAUAUGAAAGCUCAACAAAAGAAACUAAGUGGGUGUGCAUCCAACUUGCUUGCUCACGAAGACCUAGGGCACUUGAGGAGGCCCAUUGUUGGAAUAUACAAGCCAAGUUCUAUAAUGAAAAAUUCCCACUAGUAUAUGAAAAUGACAAAACAAGAGACUUUCUAUGAUGAAGAUUAUGGUGCUACUUUGAAGCACAAGUGUGGUAAAAGGAUAAUCACAUUGUCCCUUCUCUCUUUUUCUCUCAUUUUUUGGCCUUCUCUUUUUUUUUAUUUGGCCUUUCUCUCCUUUUUUUUAUUGGGACAAUGCUCUAUGAAUGAUGAUCAUCACACUUCUAUUUAUUUACAACUCAAUGAUUACAACUCGAUACUUAGAACAAAGUAUGACUCUAUAUGAAUGCCUCCGGCGGUGUACCGGGAUAUGCAAUGAACCAAGAGUUACAUGUAUGAAAGUUAUGAAUGGUGGCUUUGCCACAAAUAGUAUGUCAACUACAUGAUCAUGCAAAGCAAUAUGACAAUGAUGAACGUGUCAUGAUAAACGGAACGGUGGAAAGUUGCAUGGCAAUAUAUCUCGGAAUGGCUAUGGAAAUGCCAUAAUAGGUAGGUAUGGUGGCUGUUUUGAGGAAGAUAUAAGGAGGUUUAUGUGUGAAAGAGCGUAUCAUAUCAUGGGGUUUGGAUGCACCGGCGAAGUUUGCACAAACUCUCAAUGUGAGAAAGGGCAAUGCACGGUACCGAAGAGGCUAGCAAUGAUGGAAAGGUGAGAGUGCGUAUAAUCCAUGGACUCAACAUUAGUCAUAAAGAACUCACAUACUUAUUGCAAAAAUCUACAACUCAUCAAAAACCAAGCACUACGUGCAUGCUCCUAGGGGGAUAGAUUGGUAGGAAAAGACCAUCGCUCGUCCCCGACCGCCACUCAUAAGGAGGACAAUCAAAGAACACAUCAUGCUUCAAAUUUGUUAUAUAACGUUUACCAUACGUGCAUGCUACGGGACUUGCAAACUUCAACACAAGUAUUUCUCAAUUUCAAAACUACUCAACUAGCAUAACUUUGAUAUCACUACCUCCAUGUCUCAAAACAAUCAUCAAGUAUCAAACUUCUCUUAGUAUUCAGCACACUCAUAAGAAAGUUUUUACUAAUCUUGAAUACCUAGCAUAUUAGGAUUAUUUAAGAAAAUUACCAUGCUAUUUAAGACUCUCAAAAUAAUCUAAGUGAAGCAUGAGAGAUCAAUAGUUUCUAUAAAACAAAUCCACCACCGUGCUCUAAAAGAUAUAAGUGAAGUACUAGAACAAAAACUAUAUAACUCAAAGGAUAUAAGUGAAGCACAUAGAGUAUUCUAAUAAUUUCCGAAUCAUGUGUGUCUCUCUCAAAAGGUGUGUACAGCAAAGAUGAUUGUGGUAAACUAAAAAUCAAAGACUCAAAUAAUACAAGACACUCCAAGCAAAACACAUAUCAUGUGGUGAAUAAAAAUAUAGCUCCAAGUAAAGUUACCGAUGGAAGUAGACGAAAACUGGGGAUGCCUUCCGGGGCAUCCCCAAGCUUUGGAUUUUAGGUGUCCUUAGAUUAUCUUGGGGGUGCCAUGGGCAUCCCCAAGCUUAGGCUCUUGCCACUCCUUGUUCCAUAAUCCAUCAAAUCUUUUACCCAAAACUUGAAAACUUCACAACACAAAACUUAACAGAAAAUCUCGUGAGUUCCGUUAGCGAAAGAAAACAAAAGACCACUUCAAGGUACUGUAAUGAACUCAUUCUUUUUUUAUAUUGGUGUUAAACCUACUUUAUUCCAACUUCUCUAUGGUUCAUAAACUAUUUUACUAGCCAUAGAUUCAUCAAAAUAAGCAAACAACACACGAAAAACAGAAUCUGUCAAAAACAGAACAGUCUGUAGUAAUAUGUAACUAACGCAAACUUCUGGAACUCCAAAAAAUCAGAAAAAAUAGAAAGACCUAGACAAUUUGUUUAUUGAUCAGCAGCAAUUGGAAUCAAUAUUUUAUCACAUUCUGGUGAUUUUUAACAAUUAUUUUCGUGAACAGAAAGUUUCUGGAAUUUUCUGCAAGAUCAAAUAACUAUCAUCCAAGAAGAUCCUAUAGGUUUAACUUGGCACAAACACUAACUAAAACAUAAAAAGACAUCUAACCAGAGGCUAGAACAAAGAUUUAUUCCUAAACAGAAG
Molecule: long non-coding RNA, 31820 nt
Filed under: Triticum aestivum (bread wheat)
Lineage: Eukaryota; Viridiplantae; Streptophyta; Magnoliopsida; Poales; Poaceae
Description: long non-coding RNA (TAES_LNC004902)
Source: RNAcentral